Molecule: non-coding RNA, 87 nt
Organism: Myotis davidii
Lineage: Eukaryota; Metazoa; Chordata; Mammalia; Chiroptera; Vespertilionidae
Source: Rfam
AGAGGCCUUCCGUGGCAGGGGUGGAACGCUUGCCUUGUCACCGUGGUGAUGAAGCAAGCAUUCUGCCAGGCCACUCACGCUGCCUGC